UGGCGGCGUGCCUAACACAUGCAAGUCGAACGGAGCUACCGCGCUGAUGAUGGAGAUGCUUGCAUUGACAGAAUCUGCGAUAGCUUAGUGGCGGACGGGUGAGUAACGUGUGGAUAACCUGGUCCAUCCAGGGGGAUAGCAGCUGGAAACGGCUGGUAAUACCGCAUGAGCGCACACUACCGCAUGGUAGGGUGUGAAAAGAUUAUAUCGGGAUGGAAUGGAUCCGCAUCUGAUUAGCCAGUUGGCGGGGUAGAGGCCCACCAAAGCGACGAUCAGUAGCCGGCCUGAGAGGGCGGACGGCCACAUUGGGACUGAGACACGGCCCAGACUCCUACGGGAGGCAGCAGUGGGGGAUAUUGCACAAUGGGGGGAACCCUGAUGCCAGCGACGCCGCGUGGGUGAAGAAGUAUUUCGGUAUGUAAAGCCCUAUCAGCAGGGAAGAUAAUGACGGUACCUGAGUAAGAAGCCCCGGCUAACUACGUGCCAGCAGCAGC
This 494-nucleotide ribosomal RNA is filed under the name uncultured bacterium. RNAcentral describes it as "bacterial SSU rRNA". It matches the Rfam family "Bacterial small subunit ribosomal RNA", at positions 37 to 518 of the family's 1533-position model. The record is from RNAcentral.